GUCCCAGUAGCGCAAUGGAUAGCGCUUUGGACUUCUCAUCCAAAGUCGUAUGUUCGAAUCACACCUGGAAUG
Molecule: non-coding RNA, 72 nt
Organism: Trichonephila clavipes
Lineage: Eukaryota; Metazoa; Arthropoda; Arachnida; Araneae; Nephilidae
Source: the annotation of a GenBank genome assembly